AUACUUACCGGCACAGGAGAUCCCGUGAUCACGAAGGCGGUUUUCCCCGGGCGAGGCUCCCCAUUGCACUCGGUGGUGCUGACCCCCGCGAUUAACCCAAAUGGGGUUAACUCCGAGUGCGAAAUUUUUGGUUUUGCAGGGGGGCUGCGUUCGCGCUAUCCCCCA
Cherax quadricarinatus is the source of this 165-nucleotide non-coding RNA. The record is from RefSeq and is a predicted model, not a curated record. NCBI's taxonomy places the organism in Eukaryota, Metazoa, Arthropoda, Malacostraca, Decapoda, Parastacidae.